RNAcentral lists this unclassified non-coding RNA (333 nucleotides) under uncultured fungus. RNAcentral's name for it is "partial contains 5.8S ribosomal RNA, internal transcribed spacer 2, and large subunit ribosomal RNA". The stretch from base 1 to 52 matches the Rfam family "5.8S ribosomal RNA", at positions 103 to 154 of the family's 154-position model. The record is from RNAcentral. Lineage: Eukaryota; Fungi.
AACGCACCUUGCGCUCCUUGGUAUUCCGAGGAGCAUGCCUGUUUGAGUGUCAUGAAAUUCUCAACCCACCCUGCUUUUUGUUAAGUGGGGGAUUGGGCUUGGAUUUGGGGGUUAUUUACUGCUGGUCGGGCUCGCUCAAUCGGCUCCCCUUGAAGGCAAUUAGCCCCAGGACCCUUUGCCUCCCGGUCAGUUUCACGGUGUGAUAGUCUAUCAACGCCGGUGUGCUGGUGUCAGGUGUUGGCAUAUAUAGUCACGGUCUGGCUGUCCAAAGGACUUGGAUGUCCACUUUCUCAAUCUGACCUCAAAUCAGGUAGGACUACCCGCUGAACUUAA